Rhodamnia argentea is the source of this 147-nucleotide long non-coding RNA. RefSeq lists it as uncharacterized. The record is from RefSeq and is a predicted model, not a curated record. Lineage: Eukaryota; Viridiplantae; Streptophyta; Magnoliopsida; Myrtales; Myrtaceae. The transcript is spliced from 3 exons.
GAAUUUGGGUUCAACCACGAAUUGGACCGAGUACAAGUCAUCCAAAUUGCCUUGGACAAAAAAUUGGCUAACAUGAGUUAAAUAGGUCUAUUUGGUUCAUACCCAAUUAUGACCCAUCUAAAUUCGGACCGACCCACCCAUUUGCCA